Molecule: long non-coding RNA, 714 nt
Organism: Cebus imitator (Panamanian white-faced capuchin)
Lineage: Eukaryota; Metazoa; Chordata; Mammalia; Primates; Cebidae
Exons: 3
Source: RefSeq, a predicted model, not a curated record
CCGGACCCCUACACUACAGUGCAGGUAACUUUUAUUCAUCUUCAACUCAACAUCCAUUGAGCACCUUCCAUGAGCAAGGAACUGAGCUAGCUGCUGCAGGAUACAUAAUAAUGAAUAAGAUGUGGCACUUUGCUUUACAGGGCUAAAAGUCUAGUGGCUGAGAUAGGUGUGGACAUAAAGAACUCUCUUUAAUGUGUAACCACAGGGAUGUCUGAAGUUUCUUAGCUUAUUACCUCUCUUUUUGUACUCAUUUUUCAACUUCUCUCUCCCUUAACAACACUUGUGCAUUUAUGCGUCAUCUUCCUUGCCUGACUUACUCCCUUGACACCAUUCCUACAUUCUUUCAUAUCAACUAUUCUUAUUACUCUAAUAGCUCUUUCCUCUCUCUUUUAAAUAAGCUUUCAGUACAUCCUUCUUGACUGGAGAAAAAACUUCCCUGUAGGCUUUUCUUUGAUUAUCUUUCAAGUCUGGUUUAUUUUCAUUUUCCUUCAAGUUGACUGUUAUUAACUUUUGGUAGAAUAACAUUCUCUAGAUUUUCCCCAGAAGAUAUUUAGUAUAUCUUAUUAGUAAAGUGGAAAGUCUGAGCCUAAUGUGUUGGUUUUUUUUUCCCUUGAACACAUAACAUAUUACUGAAGCUGGUUAAAAUUCUUAAUGGUGGACAUAGGCACACUGUUUUUUGAGACAAGAUCUCUCUCUGUUGCCUAGGCUAGAGUG